GAUGAACGCUAGCGGGAGGCUUAAUACAUGCAAGUCGAACGGUAAGGUCAGAGCUUGCUCUGAUACACGAGUGGCGAACGGGUGAGUAACGCGUACACUACCUACCUUUUAGUGGAGGAUAGCCCUGGGAAACUGGGAUUAAUACUCCAUAGUAUUGCGAAUUUUUAAUUUGCAAUUAAAGCUCCGGCGCUAAAAGAUGGGUGUGCGUCCUAUUAGCUAGUUGGUAAGGUAACGGCUUACCAAGGCGACGAUAGGUAGGGGGCGUGAGAGCGUGACCCCCCACACGGGUACUGAGACACGGACCCGACUCCUACGGGAGGCAGCAGUAAGGAAUAUUGGACAAUGGGGGAAACCCUGAUCCAGCCAUCCCGCGUGCAGGAUGAAUGCCCUAUGGGUUGUAAACUGCUUUUAUAUGGGAAGAACUAACGUCAUUUAUGAUGUUUUGACGGUACCAUACGAAUAAGCACCGGCUAACUCCG
Molecule: ribosomal RNA, 479 nt
Filed under: uncultured Saprospiraceae bacterium
Lineage: Bacteria; Pseudomonadati; Bacteroidota; Saprospiria; Saprospirales; Saprospiraceae
Description: bacterial SSU rRNA
Rfam family: Bacterial small subunit ribosomal RNA
Source: RNAcentral